This 258-nucleotide ribosomal RNA is filed under the name uncultured bacterium. RNAcentral describes it as "partial 16S ribosomal RNA". It matches the Rfam family "Bacterial small subunit ribosomal RNA", at positions 524 to 779 of the family's 1533-position model. The record is from RNAcentral.
UACGUAGGGUGCAAGCGUUAAUCGGAAUUACUGGGCGUAAAGCGUGCGCAGGCGGUUGUGCAAGACAGAUGUGAAAUCCCCGGGCUCAACCUGGGAAUUGCAUUUGUGACUGCACGGCUAGAGUGUGUCAGAGGGGGGUAGAAUUCCACGUGUAGCAGUGAAAUGCGUAGAGAUGUGGAGGAAUACCGAUGGCGAAGGCAGCCCCCCGGGAUAACACUGACGCUCAUGCGACGAAAGCGUGGGGAGCAAACGAGGAUU